RNAcentral lists this non-coding RNA (27 nucleotides) under Homo sapiens (human). Lineage: Eukaryota; Metazoa; Chordata; Mammalia; Primates; Hominidae. The record is from RNAcentral.
AAGUGACGUACAGAAAACAUUAGUGAG